CCUAUUAUUUUAAUUGUUAGGAGUUGCCCAGAGUAGUAAAAGUUAUGAACUUAAAACUCAAAAAUUUUGGCGGUGAUUUAACUAAUCAGAGGAAUUUGUCCUGUAAUCGAUAACCCCCGAUAAAAUUUACUUAAAUUAGUAGCCAGCUUGUAUACCGCCGUCAGAAGAAAAUUUUACAAAAACAUUUUCAAGAGUUAGUUAUAAAGUAUGUCAGGUCAAGGUGCAGUUUAUGUUUAAGAAGAGAUGAAUUACAAUAAAAUUAUUUAAUACGGAAUUUUAAAUGAAAUAAUAAAAAUAAGGUGGAUUUGGCAGUAAUAUUUUUCAGGAAGAAAAUAUAAUAGUAGCUCUAAAUCGUGCACACAUC
RNAcentral lists this ribosomal RNA (364 nucleotides) under Attenella margarita. RNAcentral describes it as "partial 12S ribosomal RNA". The record is from RNAcentral. Lineage: Eukaryota; Metazoa; Arthropoda; Insecta; Ephemeroptera; Ephemerellidae.